This 89-nucleotide ribosomal RNA is filed under the name Mariprofundaceae bacterium. The record is from RNAcentral. Lineage: Bacteria; Pseudomonadati; Pseudomonadota; Candidatius Mariprofundia; Mariprofundales; Mariprofundaceae.
GCCUGAUCCCAUUCCGAACUCAGAAGCUAAGACCUUUAGCGCCGAUGGUACUGCAGGGUUCCCUGUGGGAGAGUAGGUCAAUGCCAGAA